UACGAAGGUCCCAAGCGUUAUCCGGAUUUAUUGGGUUUAAAGGGUGCGUAGGCGGACUGUUAAGUCAGUGGUGAAAGCUCCAUGCCUAACAUGGAAAUGGCCAUUGAUACUGACGGUCUUGAGUACAUUUGAAGUGGGCGGAAUGUGUCAUGUAGCGGUGAAAUGCUUAGAUAUGACACAGAACACCGAUUGCGAAGGCAGCUCACUAAACUGUAACUGACGCUGAGGCACGAAAGCGUGGGGAGCGAACAGG
This 253-nucleotide ribosomal RNA is filed under the name uncultured bacterium. RNAcentral describes it as "partial 16S ribosomal RNA". It matches the Rfam family "Bacterial small subunit ribosomal RNA", at positions 524 to 776 of the family's 1533-position model. The record is from RNAcentral.